This 282-nucleotide unclassified non-coding RNA is filed under the name uncultured fungus. RNAcentral describes it as "partial contains small subunit ribosomal RNA, internal transcribed spacer 1, and 5.8S ribosomal RNA". The stretch from base 1 to 73 matches the Rfam family "Eukaryotic small subunit ribosomal RNA", at positions 1759 to 1831 of the family's 1831-position model. The record is from RNAcentral. Lineage: Eukaryota; Fungi.
GCAAACUUGGUCAUUUAGAGGAAGUAAAAGUCGUAACAAGGUUUCCGUAGGUGAACCUGCGGAAGGAUCAUUACCGAGUUCGGUGCCCUCUGGGUGCCCACUCCCACCACAUGUGUACCUGUUCUGUUGCUUCGGCGGGGCGCGGUUCGCCCCUCUGGCUUCUGCUGGAGCGUCCCCGCCGGAGACCCUCAAACUCGAUUAAUUUGAUGUCUGAGCAAAACUUGAUAAAUCAAAACUUUCAACAACGGAUCUCUUGGUUCUGGCAUCGAUGAAGAACGCAGC